Molecule: unclassified non-coding RNA, 1190 nt
Filed under: Bombus terrestris (buff-tailed bumblebee)
Lineage: Eukaryota; Metazoa; Arthropoda; Insecta; Hymenoptera; Apidae
Description: misc RNA ENSBTSG00005033963.1
Source: RNAcentral
UGUCUGUACUUUCUCGAAGAAACGGCUUUGAUCGCAUCCCGAAAUUCGAUGCCUCAAAAUUCGUCGCUCGAGUCCAACAAUUUUACUGUUUGCUCUGUUUGAAACAGAGUUUUCGAUUUUCGUCGAAGGGUAGCACGAAAUUAGCCUCGGUUCGAGCGCGGUGGUAGCUUUCUGACAACGAACCGGUUAGUCGGAACUUUUACAGGUAAUUCGGUGAUAAGAAGAUGAGAGAGAAAUUUUUGUCGCUUAAAAAGGAACGAGGAGAUCCAAUUUCCGCCUGAUGAUUGGCCGAUUCAAUCGGUCGUGACGAUAAUAGAAUUCUUUGGUAACGUUUUUCCGUUCUUUUACGCGAACUUGGAAAGUCAUUGUUUUCUUGGAUCGAUACUUGCGGCUUUUGUUCGACCUCGAGUUAAGACGCGAGAAAAUAUCGGUGCUACUAAAAUACGGUCGUUUCCGUCUCACGGCAACCGUAUACAUUUUUCGUCGGAGAUGUCCUUUAAGGCGGUGGAUAAAAGAGAUCGAAAGAAACACCACCGCGAAAUGAUGGAAAGAAUUGUUCGCCCGGUGGUUCACACAGCGCGUCGAUUAUUCCCACUUUCUGACGUUUUCUUUCAAAGAUCUCUCGGCUGACGAGCACUGAUCUCCGCGUGCAUCGUUCCGACCACACACUCGUUCGCGGUUCCACACGACGACGCUAACGCCGAGGACGAGACACUGUGGUCGCCAGUCGCUAGUCGCUAGUCGAAUCUCGUGUGCUCCGCGCGUGUCGUGGAAAAACGUGUGUGCUUCCUGAUUAACUCGGCUGCACGGCAGAGCUGAAUUUUUCGCAAGUGCCGUGCCGGCGAAAACGUGCACCAGGGCCGUACGCGGCUCGUCACCGCACAGGGCGCUCGAUCGACACGCGCGUCUAUGGUUUUCCGAGGCGGCACCGUUCGUUGCUCGCCGAUUUUCCCGAUUUUCCCGAUCUGCCCGAUCUUCCCGAUCUUCGUUUCACUCGCGAUCCCCCGCGUCCAUAGGCAUUCACCGUGAUGCAAUUGGUCUGCGUUCGCAUGAAAUCCUGCUGCGGGAUAACCUGCGCGGUUAUAUCUUGGAUCUGGAUCUCGAUGCCGAUCUCCUCUCGACGAUACCCGGCGAUGUUCGAUUAUCAACGACGAAGAAAGGACGAGGCGUUUGAGGAAGCGGAGCUGCCA